GUUUAGUUAACAACCGUACAAAACCAUACUGAUUGAAGUGACAUAUGUAUUCAAGGCAAGACCUCACUGACAAACCAAGCAGAGUUGUCUCAGCACACCACGAGAUGACAAAUUAACCGCCGACGAGUCUAGCGGCAACAGUGAGCAUAUCUCUUGCCUUGACAUAAUCACCCUCACCAAUGUGUAAUUGAACCAUCUGAAAACGCACUGCGGCUUCUACGUAAGCCAAUGCACUGACAUAAGUAUGCACUUCUUUCGCGGCUUCUGCGCAAGCCUAUGCAUUGUCACACAUGUAUGCACUUCUCUUGUG
Non-coding RNA from Pelobates cultripes (western spadefoot toad), 310 nucleotides. Lineage: Eukaryota; Metazoa; Chordata; Amphibia; Anura; Pelobatidae. The record is from the annotation of a GenBank genome assembly.